GACGAACGCUGGCGGCGUGCUUAACACAUGCAAGUCGAACGGUAAGGCCCUUCGGGGUACACGAGUGGCGAACGGGUGAGUAACACGUGGGUGAUCUGCCCUGCACUUCGGGAUAAGCCUGGGAAACUGGGUCUAAUACCGGAUAGGACUCCUGCCUGCAUGGGUGGGGGUGGAAAGCUUUUGUGGUGUGGGAUGGGCCCGCGGCCUAUCAGCUUGUUGGUGGGGUGAUGGCCUACCAAGGCGACGACGGGUAGCCGGCCUGAGAGGGUGACCGGCCACAAUGGGACUGAGAUGCGGCCCAGACUCCUACGGGAGGCAGCAGUGGGGAAUAUUGCACAAUGGGCGCAAGCCUGAGGCAGCGACGCCGCGUGAGGGAUGACGGCCUUCGGGUUGUAAACCUCUUUCAGCAGAGACGAAGCGCAAGUGACGGUAUGUGCAGAAGAAGGACCGGCCAACUACGUGCCAGCCGCCGCGGUAA
RNAcentral lists this ribosomal RNA (478 nucleotides) under uncultured bacterium. RNAcentral's name for it is "partial 16S ribosomal RNA". It matches the Rfam family "Bacterial small subunit ribosomal RNA", at positions 28 to 523 of the family's 1533-position model. The record is from RNAcentral.